UACGGAAGGGGCAAGCGUUGUUCGGAUUCAUUGGGCGUAAAGGGUGCGUAGGCGGCGCGGUAAGUCGGGUGUGAAAUCUCGGAGCUUAACUCCGAAACUGCAUUCGAUACUGCCGUGAUUGAGGACUGGAGAGGAGACUGGAAUUUACGGUGUAGCGGUGAAAUGCGUAGAUAUCGGAAGGAACACCAGUGGCGAAAGCGGCUUCCUGGUCCAGCACCGACGUUCAGGCACGAAAGCGUGGGGAGCAAACAGG
Molecule: ribosomal RNA, 253 nt
Filed under: uncultured bacterium
Lineage: Bacteria
Description: partial 16S ribosomal RNA
Rfam family: Bacterial small subunit ribosomal RNA
Source: RNAcentral